Cucurbita maxima (winter squash) is the source of this 947-nucleotide RNA transcript. RefSeq lists it as uncharacterized. The transcript has 5 exons. The record is from RefSeq and is a predicted model, not a curated record. NCBI's taxonomy places the organism in Eukaryota, Viridiplantae, Streptophyta, Magnoliopsida, Cucurbitales, Cucurbitaceae.
CGCUCAACAACCGCUGCUCUGGCCAAAAUCCGGCACGGUGGAAAUGAGACACCCUCCGCCCUCCAUUCUUCUUCCAUCUGCUGUUCUUUAAGCAUUCUAAUCGAUGUAACUGUUUCAUUUUAAAUUUCUCUCUUUCUGCGUAUGUUCUCCGAAAUCGAUUAUCCGAUCACGCUCUGGCGUGCAAAUCUCAUCUGUGAGUGAAAAAUACUGAUGAUUCAUACUCCUUUCUACGAUCGUCUCUUCUAGUUAUGAUUGAUAUUGUUUCCAUUAAGGUAAUGUAGCCAGCUCAUUGGCCUCUGGUUUUUCUCGGCCAUUGGCGAAGCAUUUGGAUCCUCACUUGAUUUUCUCUCUGGAAGGACCUGCAGUUUGUGGAUCAACAAGGGAUUUCAUAGAAAAUUUCUGCGUUGCCGAUUUGCUAAAGAUGGGCAUGAUCUUGAUUCUUUCAUACUUUGGCUCACAAGAUCAAAGGAAACUUCUUCGGAAAGGGAUCCAAAUCCAGUUUAGAUGUUUUAGUUACAAGUGAUGGUCUUUUACUCCUAUGUUUAUUACAUAAAGUUGGCGUCUUCGGCGAAAGUGAAGAAGGAAAACGUCGGCAUGGGUCAACAAGCGAUUCGAGCAAUGUCCCCAAACAUGUCGAGUCGAGAACUAGCAGACGGGUGUCUUGUAGAUGGAUGAGGAACCACAGAGGUUUUCAAGUUAGAACGUCAUUGUGGCCAAAAAGUCAUGGAAUUCGCGUAAGGAGCAGUUGAGUGUUGGUCUAUGGUAAGCACAGAAGAAAAUCUGUUGAGGUUGGGACUCAUUUGAAUGAGAUUCAUAGCUUGGGGAUGUCUGGAUCAUCCAAAUUUGUGCAUAGAGAAAGACAAUAUAGAAGAGGAAGGCAAAGAUGUUAGCAGCUGGCUGGGAUUUGUUCAAGGUAUACUAACUGUAAUAGUAUUUUUUAAUUUUUU